GAUGAACGCUGGCGGCGUGCCUAAUACAUGCAAGUCGAGCGGACAGACGAGGAGCUUGCUCCUCUGACGUUAGCGGCGGACGGGUGAGUAACACGUGGAUAACCUACCUAUAAGACUGGGAUAACUUCGGGAAACCGGAGCUAAUACCGGAUAAUAUAUUGAACCGCAUGGUUCAAUAGUGAAAGACGGUUUUGCUGUCACUUAUAGAUGGAUCCGCGCCGCAUUAGCUAGUUGGUAAGGUAACGGCUUACCAAGGCAACGAUGCGUAGCCGACCUGAGAGGGUGAUCGGCCACACUGGAACUGAGACACGGUCCAGACUCCUACGGGAGGCAGCAGUAGGGAAUCUUCCGCAAUGGGCGAAAGCCUGACGGAGCAACGCCGCGUGAGUGAUGAAGGUCUUCGGAUCGUAAAACUCCGUUAUUAGGGAAGAACAAAUGUGUAAGUAACUAUGCACGUCUUGACGGUACCUAAUCAGAAAGCCACGGCUAACUACGUG
RNAcentral lists this ribosomal RNA (497 nucleotides) under uncultured bacterium. Its description in RNAcentral is "partial 16S ribosomal RNA". It matches the Rfam family "Bacterial small subunit ribosomal RNA", at positions 28 to 507 of the family's 1533-position model. The record is from RNAcentral.